CUUAUUACAAGAGGGAUACCAUGGCUUUGUCUUUAAUAAACUCUGUCAUUAGAUUCUAAAUUGUCUAGAAGCUAUUGUAGUUUUUCUCCCAGGCAGAACUUUUAUUUUAUGGCUGCAGUAACUGUCUUUGUGAAGGUUGUUAGUGCUUGAACUUGUUCCUGCCAAUGUCAUGGGUUAAAAUUAGAAUCGAGCUGCCGUGACAUUUUGCUCUGUCAUUACUGGCAAGAAGGGUUUAAUGGCUUUAACAAAGCUAUCAGGAUUCAUGACGGAAUUCUUAUUGUACAGAAAUCUCUGGGCCAUGGAAAACCCUCUGUGGUUUCAAAUGUUUCUCCUGGAUGUCAAUUAAAAAUCCAGAAAUUGAAGGCAUUUUUCCAUCUCACAUGGGUUUCCUGUUUUGCUCACGACACUCCUGGAUAACCUAGCAAAAAAAUGAAAGCGGGGGCUGAAUUUGAAUGUGGAAGAGCUAUGACUGAAACUGCUGUUUCUGUUGGCUCAUUUAUGGCUAUUAAAGACCUGUGGGAAGUCAGAAUCCAGAAAAUCACCGAAGAGCUUCGGAAGCAAAAAGAAUUCAGUCAAAAGGCUGCAGGGAGACUGACAAUUAUUUGGGAAGAGAGGACGAGUUUGGCCAAGCUGAAAGGCAAAGUAAUCAACGAAGAUGGAAGGGCUGUUUUAAGGAUUGAGCAGGAGGAAUGGCAGACUCUACCGUCUUGCUUGCUGAAACUGAAUUACCUGCAGGAAUGGCAGCUUCACAGAAUUAAUUUGAUCAAAAUCCCUCACUACGUUGGUCGCUUUCAAAAUCUCAUGGUCCUAGAUCUAUCUCGAAAUUCUAUUGCAGAAAUUCCUAGGGAGAUUGGUCAAUUGUCAAAUCUUCAGGAGUUGAUCCUCAGUUAUAAUAAAAUUAAAUUGGUUCCUAAAGAAUUAGGCAACUGCGUUGGCUUAGAAAGACUGGAGCUGGCAGUAAAUAGAGACAUCUGUGACCUUCCCCAUCAGCUGAGCAACUUGAAGAAGCUUUCUCACCUAGAUCUGAGUAUGAACCGGUUCACUACUUUCCCACUAGUCCUUCUAGAUAUGCCUAACUUGGAGUGGCUAGAUAUGGCAAGCAACAGGCUGAAAGAAAUCCCUGGCAAUAUUGACAAAGCAGAAAACCUACAUACUUUGUGGCUCCAAAGGAAUGAAAUAACUUAUUUGCCUGAAUCUAUUUCUAACCUUAAAAAUAUGACCACCCUUGUUCUCACCAGCAACAAACUGCAAGAUAUUCCUGCAUGCCUAAAGGACAUGCUAAACCUAAGAUUUGUCAACUUCCGAGAUAACCCAUUAAAGCUGCAAGUGACACUUCCUCCUUGUGAGAAUCCCGAAGAGGAAGAGGAGCAAGAACUUUACGGAAUUCAGUUCAUGCAUUUAUAUAUCCAGGAAUUCCUCAACAGUGAAGGUACCACUUAUUUAUGUUUAAAAUAAAUACAGACUCAGCAAGGAGACUGCCAUAUUUUUCAAGAGCUGGGUUUUGCACGUUAACGUUAAACCAGUUUUUAAUGAGGGUUUGUUGGACAAGCAAUGGUAGCCUUCUGGAUGGAAAGCAGGAAGCCAAAAUAGGUAGCUUCAUAGUAAACAACAACCCAACAUUCUCUCUUUUAAAAAAACUCUGAAUCAGACAAAUGUGACCUACAAUAUUUUUUAAGAAUUGUUAAAGGCAAACUUGUGAUGCUAGAAUUUCCUUGACAUUGUGGCAUUUUAUAUUGUUUAAAGGUUGAGAUCCAAAAUAUUAAACAUACCCAAUCCUUGAACAUUAAAUUAUUCUGAUACGUCAACCAGAGUCCCAAUGCUGUUUGCUUUAGCACUAAAAUGCAUGAUCUUAAUGUUAUAUGAACUGUGCCGCAAUGGUCCAAUAAACAAACAUUUGAAACAUCCUGGUUUAUGUGAGAUUACAGAGUAAUCCUUUCCUGUUGUGCUACAAAACUAGAAAAAAAAACACCCUACCCUCUCCUCUUUAAGAGAGUUGCAGGGGCAGAGUGGGCACUGCAAGAAGAGCACAGGAAACGAGAGGAAAUUCCACUAGCACAGGGGUAAACGCCUUAAUUCUUUAUACUGGGGGAAAAAAUAACUUUUACAAAGUUGAUAGAUUUCUGAAAAACGCACAUUUUUUGGCACACAUACUUUUUUUCUUUCAGAAAACACGGAAAGUGAUAUUCCAGGUGCUGCUGACACCACGGACUGAAAAACAAAAACAACACCAAGCUGAUCCGGUAACUGUUACAAAUUUUUGGAGCCCAGAGAAACUGAAGCUGAAAUGCAGCCAGAUCUGUUGUGACAAAUAUUUUGAGCGGUCUACUUAUUAUUAGUACUUUUUUUUCUGA
Crotalus tigris (Tiger rattlesnake) is the source of this 2351-nucleotide RNA transcript. It is a transcript of the gene named leucine rich repeat containing 39, with no coding region annotated. NCBI's taxonomy places the organism in Eukaryota, Metazoa, Chordata, Lepidosauria, Squamata, Viperidae. The record is from RefSeq and is a predicted model, not a curated record. The transcript is spliced from 9 exons.